RNAcentral lists this small RNA (1009 nucleotides) under Pan troglodytes (chimpanzee). RNAcentral's name for it is "processed transcript". The record is from RNAcentral. Lineage: Eukaryota; Metazoa; Chordata; Mammalia; Primates; Hominidae.
CCGAAACUGGCGCGGAGCAACUGAGGCCCGAGCCUUCUCGGGACCCGGGGGACGCCUAACCCCGCGAGAUGAGGAAACUGAGGCCGCGAGGAGCGCGCACACAGCAGAGAAGCAGCAGAAUCGGGAAUCAAACCCAGCUCUGUCUGACCCCAGAGCCUGUGCCCUUAACCACUGGCUAGGCUGAACUGCCUUUGUUCUUCACUGUCCCCAUCACCUCUUUCAAACCUCAGCCUCUCCUUCCUCAUCGUUACAUCUCUAGGCUGCACCUGGUCUCUAAACAUUCACACAACCCCUGCAAAUUUUCUUCCUCAUAAUUGGGAGAAGACUCACUGGCCGAAUGGCAGCAGUAGAUGACUUGCGAUUUGAAGUUACUUGCUGGACAGAAGAAAAGCUCCCCCUUCUGGACAUUUGAAUACUACCAAACAUUCUUUGAUGUGGACACCUACCAGGUCUUUGACAGAAUUAAAGGAUCUCUUUUGCCAAUACCCGGGAAAAACUUUGUGAGGUUAUAUAUCCGCAGCAAUCCAGAUCUCUAUGGCCCCUUUUGGAUAUGUGCCACGUUGGUCUUUGCCAUAGCAAUUAGUGGGAAUCUUUCCAACUUCUUGAUCCAUCUGGGAGAGAAGACGUACCAUUAUGUGCCCGAAUUCCGAAAAGUGUCCAUAGCAGCUACCAUCAUCUAUGCCUAUGCCUGGCUGGUUCCUCUCGCACUCUGGGGUUUCCUCAUGUGGAGAAACAGCAAAGUUAUGAACAUCGUCUCCUAUUCAUUUCUGGAGAUUGUGUGUGUCUAUGGAUAUUCCCUCUUCAUUUAUAUCCCCACCGCAAUACUGUGGAUUAUCCCCCAGAAAGCUGUUCGUUGGAUUCUAGUCAUGAUUGCCCUGGGCAUCUCAGGAUCUCUCUUGGCAAUGACAUUUUGGCCAGCUGUUCGUGAGGAUAACCGACGCGUUGCAUUGGCCACAAUUGUGACAAUUGUGUUGCUCCAUAUGCUGCUUUCUGUGGGCUGCUUGGUAUG